Molecule: ribosomal RNA, 478 nt
Filed under: uncultured bacterium
Lineage: Bacteria
Description: partial 16S ribosomal RNA
Rfam family: Bacterial small subunit ribosomal RNA
Source: RNAcentral
GACGAACGCUGGCGGCGUGCUUAACACAUGCAAGUCGAACGGUAAGGCCCUUCGGGGUACACGAGUGGCGAACGGGUGAGUAACACGUGGGUGAUCUGCCCUGCACUUCGGGAUAAGCCUGGGAAACUGGGUCUAAUACCGGAUAGGACCACUGCCUGCAUGGGUGGUGGUGGAAAGCUUUUGCGGUGUGGGAUGGGCCCGCGGACUAUCAGCUUGUUGGUGGGGUGAUGGCCUACCAAGGCGACGACGGGUAGCCGGCCUGAGAGGGUGACCGGCCACACUGGGACUGAGAUCCGGCCCAGACUCCUACGGGAGGCAGCAGUGGGGAAUAUUGCACAAUGGGGGCAAGCCUGAUGCAGCGACGCCGCGUGAGGGAUGACGGCCUUCGGGUUGUAAACCUCUUUCAGCUAUGACGAAGCGCAAGUGACGGUAGUAGCAGAAGAAGGACCGGCCAACUACGUGCCAGCCGCCGCCGUAA